RNAcentral lists this transfer RNA (71 nucleotides) under Stegodyphus mimosarum. It matches the Rfam family "tRNA". Rfam says of the family: Transfer RNA (tRNA) molecules are approximately 80 nucleotides in length. Their secondary structure includes four short double-helical elements and three loops (D, anti-codon, and T loops). The record is from Rfam by way of RNAcentral. Lineage: Eukaryota; Metazoa; Arthropoda; Arachnida; Araneae; Eresidae.
GCCUUCGCUGCGUAACGGUAGCACACUCGACCCGUAUUCGAGAAGUCCAGGUUCGAAUCCCGGCGAAGGCA